AAGUCGUAACAAGGUUUCCGUAGGUGAACCUGCGGAAGUGUUAUGUGUUCAGAGAAUUCGAGUAGUAUCUGAGUUAUUAAACUGCCGUUUAUUGGAUAUUCGGUUUAAUUUUCACAAGGAAGGCUUAGACUCGCCGUUUGAUCAUUUUGCAGGACGCGAACCUGAUUGGUUCUUGAGCGACGCGUUCUGAUUGGCCGAAACUGAUCUAACGACUUUAGUCGUUACAGGAAGGAUCAUUAAAAGAAUCUGCCUCACCCACAGAUAUCUUAUCACGUGUGAACUGUCUAGCUUGUCGCCCGAGAUGGACACCUCAGAGAUCUCGGUCUUUGGGGGGUCUGUCUUGGGGGUCAGCUUAUGCUACUGAUUGUGCCCCGAGAAUCUUUAAAAGACUAUAAAACUUUUAGCAAUGGAUCUCUAGGCUCCU
Molecule: unclassified non-coding RNA, 424 nt
Filed under: fungal sp.
Lineage: Eukaryota; Fungi
Description: partial internal transcribed spacer region
Source: RNAcentral